UAACAACGGCCAAUUACCCAUCUCUGAAAACACAAGAACUGGCUAGGUCCAUCUCUAUUGACAAUUUGUAUUUUCAGAGAUGGGGAAUUGGCCGUUGUUA
This is a non-coding RNA of Podarcis lilfordi (Lilford's wall lizard), 100 nucleotides long. The record is from the annotation of a GenBank genome assembly. NCBI's taxonomy places the organism in Eukaryota, Metazoa, Chordata, Lepidosauria, Squamata, Lacertidae.